GUGCCAGCCGCCGCGGUAAUACCGGCAGCCCGAGUGAUGGCCGAUCUUAUUGGGCCUAAAGCGUCCGUAGCUGGCUGCGCAAGUCCGUCGGGAAAUCCACUCGCCCAACUGAUGGGCGUCCGGCAGAAACUGCACGGCUUGGGACCGGAAGGCUCGAAGGGUACGUUCGGGGUAGGAGUGAAAUCCCAUAAUCCCGCACGGACCACCGAUGGCGAAAGCACUUCGAGAAAACGGAUCCGACAGUGUGGGACGAAAGCCAGGGUCUCCAACCGGAUUAGAAACCCCGGUAGUCC
Molecule: ribosomal RNA, 293 nt
Filed under: uncultured bacterium
Lineage: Bacteria
Description: partial 16S ribosomal RNA
Rfam family: Archaeal small subunit ribosomal RNA
Source: RNAcentral